ACGAACGCUGGCGGCGUGCCUCAUACAUGCAAGUAGAACGCUGAAGGAGGAGCUUGCUCUUCUGGAUGAGUUGCGAACGGGUGAGUAACGCGUAGGUAACCUGCCUGGUAGCGGGGGAUAACUAUUGGAAACGAUAGCUAAUACCGCAUAAGAGUAGAUGUUGCAUGACAUUUACUUAAAAGGUGCAAUUGCAUCACUACCAGAUGGACCUGCGUUGUAUUAGCUAGUUGGUGGGGUAACGGCUUACCAAGGCGACGAUACAUAGCCGACCUGAGAGGGUGAUCGGCCACACUGGGACUGAGACACGGCCCAGACUCCUACGGGAGGCAGCAGGAGGGAAUCUUCGGCAAUGGACGGAAGUCUGACCGAGCAACGCCGCGUGAGUGAAGAAGGUUUUCGGAUCGUAAAGCUCUGUUGUAAGAGAAGAACGAGUGUGAGAGUGGAAAGUUCACACUGUGACGGUAGCUUACCAGAAAGGGACGGCUAACUACGUG
This 494-nucleotide ribosomal RNA is filed under the name uncultured bacterium. RNAcentral's name for it is "partial 16S ribosomal RNA". It matches the Rfam family "Bacterial small subunit ribosomal RNA", at positions 29 to 507 of the family's 1533-position model. The record is from RNAcentral.